This is a long non-coding RNA of Polypterus senegalus (gray bichir), 351 nucleotides long. RefSeq lists it as uncharacterized. The record is from RefSeq and is a predicted model, not a curated record. The transcript has 4 exons. Lineage: Eukaryota; Metazoa; Chordata; Cladistia; Polypteriformes; Polypteridae.
GUUUUUUAUGUGGAUGUGCCAUUGUUUAAGCUUCUUGCAGCCGAAAAGUGAGAUUUCCUCUCCAUGGUUCACCAAGCAGGCAUAUUUUGCAGUGCAUGCAUAUUUGAAUAGAAAGGAAAGCAAAAGACUGAAGAAAUAAAUCUUUUAGUAACAUGAUGGCAGCUAAAAGAUUUGCGGCACCAUAAAGUUGAAAGGAUAAAUGGACAGAUACCAGACACGGGAAACACUGCCAGAUUCAGAUUUCAAUUCCAGAGCCCCAAAAACGGCACUUCCGGUUCCUGCUCCAGAUGACAUCACUUCUGCCAACCAGCCAUAAAUGAAACCCAAUCACCUCUUUGGAAUCAGAUCUGU